CCUGGCCGGCCCCUCCCCGCAUAGGCCGAACCCCAGAUCGGGGAUUUACUACGGGAUGGUGACCGACGGCGGCCAUGGAUGCUGCGCCGACCCGCUGCCGCACCUACCCCUGGCCGGCCCCUCCCUGCAUAUCAUCGAUGUUAUAUUGUUCAAAUUCCAAAAAAUUACAAUUCCACAUGAUGUACAUCCAAAGAGGAUUUGGAAUUCCAUUCCAGCCUUGAUUCUACGGACGAAUACCAUGCGCAUCCAAACAGCAAAACUGGAAUUCCAUUCAAAUCGUUGAUUUGGUAUUCCAUUGCCAAUUCAAUUCCGCGGCGAAUUCUGCGCAACCAAACAGGGCAUAGUAGUAUACUUUGCACCUUGGGUUUGACUUUGCAGCCGCCGUUGCCCCCUCGUGCUUAGCCUUACACCUUGCGGUAUGACAAAGGAUGAUCCAUUUUUACAAACCCACAAAGGCCACCAUAUACAACACAAGACAAACCUAGGAGAAAGCAGUUGCCGUACAUAAAAAGAAAGC
This 517-nucleotide long non-coding RNA is filed under the name Hordeum vulgare. RNAcentral describes it as "long non-coding RNA (HVUL_LNC014741)". Lineage: Eukaryota; Viridiplantae; Streptophyta; Magnoliopsida; Poales; Poaceae. The record is from RNAcentral.